AGAGUUUGAUCAUGGCUCAGAACGAACGCUGGCGGCAGGCCUCAAACAUGCAAGUCUAGGGGGUGUAGCAAUACAUCACCGGCGGACGGGUGCGUAACGCGUGGGAAUAUACCUUUUGGUUCGGAACAACUGAGGGAAACUUCAGCUAAUACCGAAUGUGCCCUAACGGGGAAAGAUUUAUCGCCAAAGGAUUAGCCCGCGUAGGAUUAGCUAGUUGGUGAGGUAAUGGCUCACCAAGGCUCCGAUCCUUAGCUGUUCUGAGAGGAAGAUCAGCCACACUGGGACUGAGACACGGCCCAGACUCCUACGGGAGGCAGCAGUUGGGAGUCUUGGACAAUGGGGGAAACCCUGAUCCAGCCAUGCCGCGUGAGUGAUGAAGGCCUUCGGGUUGUAAAACUCUUUCGACGGGGACGAUAAUGACGGUACCCGUAGAAGAAGCUCCGGCUAACUUCGUGCCAGCAGCCGCGGUAAUACGAAGGGGGCUAGCGUUGUUCGGAAUUACUGGGCGUAAAGCGCGCGCAGGCGGUCUUCCAAGUCAGUGGUGAAAGCCCGGAGCUCAACUCCGGAACUGCCAUUGAAACUGUAAGACUUGAGGACGAGAGAGGUGAGUGGAAUUCCCAGUGUAGAGGUGAAAUUCGUAGAUAUUGGGAAGAACACCGGUGGCGAAGGCGGCUCACUGGCUCGUUUCUGACGCUCAGGCGCGACAGCGUGGGGAUCAAACAGGAUUAGAUACCCUAGUAGUCC
RNAcentral lists this ribosomal RNA (744 nucleotides) under uncultured bacterium. Its description in RNAcentral is "bacterial SSU rRNA". It matches the Rfam family "Bacterial small subunit ribosomal RNA", at positions 8 to 796 of the family's 1533-position model. The record is from RNAcentral.